UGACCUCGGAUCAGGUAGGAAUACCCGCUGAACUUAAGCAUAUCAAUAAGCGGAGGAAAAGAAACCAACAGGGAUUGCCCUAGUAACGGCGAGUGAAGCGGCAACAGCUCAAAUUUGAAAUCUGGCUACUUUGUAGUCCGAGUUGUAAUUUGUAGAGGAUGCUUUUGGUGAAGUGCUUUCUGAGUUCCCUGGAACGGGACGCCAGAGAGGGUGAGAGCCCCGUACAGUUAGCAACUGAUCCUUUGUAUAGCUCCUUCGACGAGUCGAGUAGUUUGGGAAUGCUGCUCUAAAUGGGAGGUAUAUCUCUUCUAAAGCUAAAUAUAGGCUAGAGACCGAUAGCGCACAAGUAGAGUGAUCGAAAGAUGAAAAGCACUUUGAAAAGAGAGUUAAACAGCACGUGAAAUUGUUGAAAGGGAAGCGCCUAUGACCAGACUUGUCUCUAUCAGUUUUGGUAGUUUUCGGACUGCUUUACUCUGUUAGUACAGGCCAACAUCAGUUUGUUGUCGGGAGAAAGGCUUAGGGAAUGUGGCUUCCU
Molecule: ribosomal RNA, 535 nt
Filed under: Ambrosiella beaveri
Lineage: Eukaryota; Fungi; Ascomycota; Sordariomycetes; Microascales; Ceratocystidaceae
Description: eukaryotic LSU rRNA
Rfam family: Eukaryotic large subunit ribosomal RNA
Source: RNAcentral